AAAAACUCUCAAUUCAUCUAAAACCCCUCAGAGCCUCCCCUAUAACAUUCUUGAUUCAUCAUCAUCACCAUAAGACUGGUCUAUCUUGAAGCUUUAUGAUGGGUGAUCCAUCGUUACAAGAGUGAUUGAUGCUGCAGCUGUAUUGCACCGAGGAACUGCUC
Rosa chinensis is the source of this 161-nucleotide long non-coding RNA. RefSeq lists it as uncharacterized. NCBI's taxonomy places the organism in Eukaryota, Viridiplantae, Streptophyta, Magnoliopsida, Rosales, Rosaceae. The record is from RefSeq and is a predicted model, not a curated record. The transcript is spliced from 3 exons.